Maniola jurtina (meadow brown) is the source of this 314-nucleotide long non-coding RNA. RefSeq lists it as uncharacterized. The record is from RefSeq and is a predicted model, not a curated record. Lineage: Eukaryota; Metazoa; Arthropoda; Insecta; Lepidoptera; Nymphalidae. The transcript is spliced from 4 exons.
UAGCACUUCUACAGCCGAAGGGUGAUCAAGCCUUGGGUUUGCAGAGUCCUAAUUUGUCAAAGUCGGGUAAAUCUCUAAUCGUCACAACUAUCAGGAAACUAGACGAAAAACGUAUACGUACUUCACUAUGAAGAAAAUAAAAAUUCUCCUAACUUCAUAUUAAUUUCCUUGUACCUAUGUACAAAUUGCAUCUCAAGCAAAACCUUUGUCUCAUAAAACAAUACAAUGAUAUUUGGGUACGCGUGUGUCGUUGACCGCGCGAUGUCACCGUAAUAAUUCAGUGAAUUAUUAUAGUUCGAUUCUAAGACCGAAUA